Molecule: long non-coding RNA, 473 nt
Organism: Eriocheir sinensis (Chinese mitten crab)
Lineage: Eukaryota; Metazoa; Arthropoda; Malacostraca; Decapoda; Varunidae
Exons: 4
Source: RefSeq, a predicted model, not a curated record
UGGCGGACCUCCUCCUAAGUAGCUAUCGGAGGUGACCCUGGCCGUGGAAGCCAUUUUGGAAAUAGAAAAUGAAAGCAUUUCGGGCGUUUCCGAUUUCUUGGAUGUGAACAGGCUGACAGUUGAAGAACAUCAAGCUGCGAACAGUGCCUCUGCGGGAGCUGUGUCUGGACAGCGCCAUCCAGGGCAGUUCUGCGACCAACAAGCCGUGGACAGUGCCUCUGCGGGAGCUGUGUCUGGGCAGCGCCAUCCAGGGCAGUUAUGCAACCAACGAGAAAAAAGCUGCCCUGCGGGGGCAGAUGGAGGGUACAGCAAUGUGAUAGCCAUACCAACUUUCGAUGAUCAGCGUUACAACAAUGACGAAAAAAGACAACUAGAACUUGCACUUCUGCGAGCAAACAUUGAACAUGUGAUUGCCUAAAAGAGGGCCUGUGACGCAGAGGCAGCGUACAAAAUCGCAUUGACAAAAAAACUUA